GGGUCAUAGAAUCAUAGAAUCAUAGAGUUGGAAGAGACCACAAGGGCCAUCGAGUCCAACCCCCUGCCAAGCAGGAAACACCAUCAGAGCACUCCUGACAUAUGGUUGUCAAGCCUCUGCUUAAAGACCUCCAAAGAAGGAGACUCCACCACACUCCUUGGCAGCAAAUUCCACUGUCGAACAGCUCUUACUGUCAGGAAGUUCUUCCUAAUGUUUAGGUGGAAUCUUCUUUCUUGUAGUUUGGAUCCAUUGCUCCGUGUCCGCUUCUCUGGAGCAGCAGAAAACAACCUUUCUCCCUCCUCUAUGUGACAUCCUUUUAUAUAUUUGAACAUGGCUAUCAUAUCACCCCUUAACCUCCUCUUCUCCAGGCUAAACAUGCCCAGCUCUCUUAGCCGUUCCUCAUAAGGCAUCGUUUCCAGGCCUUUGACCAUUUUGGUUGCCCUCCUCUGGACACGUUCCAGUUUGUCAAUGUCCUUCUUGAACUGUGGUGCCCAGAACUGGACACAGUACUCCAGGUGAGGUCUGACCAGAGCAGAAUACAGUGGCACUAUUACUUCCCUUGAUCUAGAUGCUAUACUCCUAUUGAUGCAGCCCAGAAUUGCAUUGGCUUUUUUAGCUGCCGCGUCACACUGUUGGCUCAUGUCAAGUUUGUGGUCAACCAAGACUCCUAGAUCCUUUUCACAUGUACUGCUCUCAAGCCAGGUGUCCCCCAUCUUGUAUUUGUGCCUCUCAUUUUUUUUGCCCAAGUGCAAUACUUUACAUUUCUCCCUGUUAAAAUUCAUCUUGUUUGUUUUGGCCCAGUUCUCUAAUCUGUCAAGGUCGUUUUGAAGUGUGAUCCUGUCCUCUGGGGUGUUAGCCACCCCUCCCAAUUUGGUGUCAUCUGCAAAUUUGAUCAGGAUGCCCUUGAGUCCAUCAUCCAAGUCGUUGAUAAAGAUGUUGAAUAAGACCGGGCCCAAGACAGAACCCUGUGGCACCCCACUAGUCACUCUUCUCCAGGAUGAAGAGGAACCAUUGAUGAGCACCCUUUGGGUUCGGUCAGUCAGCCAGUUACAAAUCCACUGAGUGGUAGCAUAGUCAAGACCACAUUUUACCAGCUUCUUACAAGAAUAUCAUGAGGCACCUUGUCAAAUGCCUUGCUGAAAUCAAGGUAGGCUACAUCCACUGCGUUCCUUCAUCUACCAGGCUUGUAAUUCUGUCAAAAACGAGAUCAGGUUAGUCUGACAUGACUUAUUUUUCAGAAAUCCAUGCUGACUAUUGGUGAUCACAGCAUUCCUUUCUAGGUGCUCACAGACUGUUUGCUUAAUGAUCUGCUCCAGAAUCUUCCCUGGUAUUGAUGUCAGACUGACUGGGCGGUAAUUAUUUGGGUCCUCUCUUUUCCCUUUUUGAAAAUAGGGACAACAUUUGCCCUCCUCCAGUCUGCCGGGACUUCGCCUGUUCUCCAGGAAUUCUCAAAGAUGACUGCCAGUGGUUCUGAGAUCACAUCUGCCAGUUCUUUUAAUACUCUUGGAUGCAGUUCAUCUGGCCCUGGAGACUUGAAUACAUCUAAACUAGCCAAGUAUUCUUGUACUAUCUCCUUAGUUAUUCUGGGCUGUGUUUCCUUUGCUGAAUCAUUUGCUCCAAAUUCUUCAGGUCGGGCAUUGUUUUCUUUAUCGGAGAAGACUGAGGCAAAGAAGGCAUUGAGGAGUUCAGCUCUUUCUGUGUCCCCUGUUUGCAUUUCACCAUCUUCUCCUCUGAGUGACCCCACUGUUUCUUUGUUCUUCCUUUUGCUACGGACAUACCCAUAAAAGCCUUUUUUGUUGCUUUUAACCUCUCUAGCAAGCCUGAGUUCAUUCUGUGCUUUAGCUUUUCUGACUUUGUGUCUACACGUGCUGGCUAUUUGUUUGAAUUCCUCUUUGGUGGUUUCCCCUUUUCCAUUUUUUGUACACAUCCUUUUUAAUCUUAACUCAGUUAAAAGUUCUUUAGAUAGCCACCCUGGCUUCUUUAGGCACCUUCCAUGUUUCUGUCUCAUUGGUAUUGCCUGACGUUGUGCUUUUAGUAUCUCCCUCUUAACAAACUCCCAGCCAUCAUGAACUCCCUUUCCUUUUAGUAUUACUGUCCAUGGGAUCUCACCCAGCACUUCCCUAAGUUUUAUGAAGUCAGCUUUCUUAAAGUCAAGAAAUUGAGUCCUAGUAUGCUUGGCUGCUCCUUUCCGCUGUAUAGUAAACUUCAGAAGAGCAUGAUCACUCGCGCCUAAUGAUCCUUCCACUUCUACCCCACUAACCAGGUCAUCAACAUUGGUUAGGACCAGAUCUAAAAUGGCUGUUCCUCUUGUUGCUUCUCCCACUUUCUGGACAAUGAAGUUGUCUGCAAGGCCAGUGAGGAAUCUGUUUGACCUUAUGCUCUUGGCUGAGUUUGACAUCCAACAAAUAUCCGGGUAAUUGAAGUCCCCCAUUACUACUAUCUCCCUUCCUUUUGCAUGCUUGGCCAUCUGUUCCAGGAAGGCAUCAUCUAUGUCCUCCGUUUGGCUUGGGGAUCUAUAGUAAACUCCCACAAUGAGGUCACUGUUAUUCUUCUCUCCUUAAUUUUGACCCAAAUGCUCUCACUUUGGCUUUGAGGUUCUAAAUCUUGGAUCUCUUCACAGGUAUACACAUCCCUGACAUAUAACGCCACUCCUCCUCCUUUCUUGUCUGGUCUGUUUCUCUGAAAUAGAUUGUAUCCCCCCUUAUUACAUUCCAAUCGUGGGACUUAUCCCACCAGGUUUCAGUGAUGCCUAUUAUGUCAUAUUUAGUUUGCUGUACCAAGAGCUCAAGCUCAUCUUGUUUAUUUCCCAUGCUUUGCGCAUUAGUGUACAGACAUUGAAGUCCAUUAAUCAUUCCCCGUGACUCUUAUUUAAGGAUUUUUUCCUCCCACCACUAGGUCUGUGUGCUGUUUGCUCCAUUUGGUCUAUGACAUUUGGAUGAUCAUCUUCAUCAAUUGAUAGACUCCUACCUUCAGGAGCACUGUCUCCCUCCCCACAUUAGUCAGUUUAAAGCCCUCCUGAUGAGGUUUCUGAGAUUUUUGGCAAAAACAUUUCUCCCAACCGUUGUGAGGUGCAGCCCAUCGCUUGCCAGAAGUCCAUCUUCAAGAAACUGCAGUCCGUGAUCUAAGAAUCCAAACCGUUCCUGUUUACACCAUUUGCGAAGCCAGCUGUUCACUUCCACUAAUUUCCCUCUCUCCCUGGGCCACGUCGUUCAACUGGGAGGACAGAUGAGAUGACAAUUUGUGCAUUUAAUUGCUUCAAUUUCCUGCCCAGAGCCUCGUAGUCUCUUUUGAUCUUCUGGAGGCUAUUGCUUGCAGUGUCAUUGGUUCCCACAUGAACCAAGAGGAAGGGGUAUUUGUCAGUGGGUUUUAUGAUUCCUUGCAGUCGUUCAGUUACAUCUUGGAUCUUAGCCCCGGGAGACAGCACACUUCCCGAGACAUCUUGUCAGGCCCACAGAUCACUGCUUCUGUUCCCUCAGUAGGGAAUCCCCUAUCACCACUACACGCCUCCUCUUAGGUUUGGUCGGGGUUCUUCCGUGAGCUGUCCGCUCCAAGGUCGCCUGCACAUUCCCUGAGGACUGACUUUGCUGCUCGUCUUCAUAUACCUGAUCGACUGUAAUGAGGGAGAGAUCCUCAAAUGGAGUCUGCUCUUCGUCUUCCAUGCUAGGGGAGAGGACCUCAAAGCGAUUGUGUAUUUCUAAACAAUCAGAGCGAACCCUGGGCCUCCUACUUCUUUGAGUCACGUUUCUCCAUAUAUCUGGCUCCUGUGUUGGUGAACUAGCGUCCUUCUCAGGGGAGUCCCCUGUCUCCUCCUUGGUGGAGACGGUGUGCUCUGUUGCUUCCAAGAAGAGCUCCAGCUCUCUAAUUCUUUGGAGCGUAGCUACACGUUCCUCCAGUUGCUGGACUUUGUCUUUUAAGAGGGCAAUCAACAUGCAAUUGCUGCAGGUAAAGCUGCCUGCAACCUUUGGCAAGAUGGCAAACAUUGCGCAGGAACCGCAGGCGACUGCAGCUGUUCCCUCCCCUCCAUCUUGAGAACGUGUCGUUGGGGGUGGCUACAGCGGUCCUCCAUCAUAAAAAGCGUGAAGACAGGAAAAUAACUCCCCACACAAAAACCUAGGUCUCCCCAACAAACGUUUGAGACUAGCUCCCUAAAUCUAAAAGAUGGAUCANNNNNNNNNNNNNNNNNNNNNNNNNNNNNNNNNNNNNNNNNNNNNNNNNNNNNNNNNNNNNNNNNNNNNNNNNNNNNNNNNNNNNNNNNNNNNNNNNNNNGCAUGAUCACUCGUGCCUAAUGAUCCUUCCACUUCUACCCCACUAACCAGGUCAUCAACAUUGGUUAGGACCAGAUCUAAAAUGGCUGUUCCUCUUGUUGCUUCUCCCACUUUCUGGACAAUGAAGUUGUCUGCAAGGCCAGUGAGGAAUCUGUUUGACCUUAUGCUCUUGGCUGAGUUUGACAUCCAACAAAUAUCCGGGUAAUUGAAGUCCCCCAUUACUACUAUCUCCCUUCCUUUUGCAUGCUUGGCCAUCUGUUCCAGGAAGGCAUCAUCUAUGUCCUCCGUUUGGCUUGGGGAUCUAUAGUAAACUCCCACAAUGAGGUCACUGUUAUUCUUCUCUCCCUUAAUUUUGACCCAAAUGCUCUCACUUUGGCUUUGAGGUUCUAAAUCUUGGAUCUCUUCACAGGUAUACACAUCCCUGACAUAUAACGCCACUCCUCCUCCUUUCUUGUCUGGUCUGUUUCUCUGAAAUAGAUUGUAUCCCCCCAUUAUUACAUUCCAAUCGUGGGACUUAUCCCACCAGGUUUCAGUGAUGCCUAUUAUGUCAUAUUUAGUUUGCUGUACCAAGAGUUCAAGCUCAUCUUGUUUAUUUCCCAUGCUUUGCGCAUUGGUGUACAGACAUUGAAGUCCAUUAAUCAUUACCCCUUGACUCUUAUUUAAGGAUUUUUCCUCCCACCACUAGGUCUGUGUGCUGUUUGCUCCAUUUGGUCUAUGACAUUUGGAUGAUCAUCUUCAUCAAUUGAUAGAUUUCUACCUUCAGGAGCACUGUCUCCCUCCCCACAUUAGUCAGUUUAAAGCCCUCCUGAUGAGGUUUCUGAGAUUUUUGGCAAAAACAUUUCUCCCAACCGUUGUGAGGUGCAGCCCAUCGCUUGCCAGAAGUCCAUCUUCAAGAAACUGCAGUCCGUGAUCUAAGAAUCCAAACCGUUCCUGUUUACACCAUUUGCGAAGCCAGCUGUUCACUUCCACUAUUUUCCCCUCUCUCCCUGGGCCACGUCGUUCAACUGGGAGGACAGAUGAGAUGACAAUUUGUGCAUUUAAUUGCUUCAAUUUCCUGCCCAGAGCCUCGUAGUCUCUUUUGAUCUUCUGGAGGCUAUUGCUUGCAGUGUCAUUGGUUCCCACAUGAACCAAGAGGAAGGGGUAUUUGUCAGUGGGUUUUAUGAUUCCUUGCAGUCGUUCAGUUACAUCUUGGAUCUUAGCCCGGGAGACAGCACACUUCCCGAGACAUCUUGUCAGGCCCACAGAUCACUGCUUCUGUUCCCCUCAGUAGGGAAUCCCCUAUCACCACUACACGCCUCCUCUUAGGUUUGGUCGGGGUUCUUCCGUGAGCUGUCCGCUCCAAGGUCGCCUGCACAUUCCCGAGGACUGACUUUGCUGCUCGUCUUCAUAUACCUGAUCGACUGUAAUGAGGGAAAGAUCCUCAAAUGGAGUCUGCUCUUCGUCUUCCAUGCUAGGGGAGAGGACCUCAAAGCGAUUGUGUAUUUCUAAACAAUCAGAGCGAACCCUGGGCCUCCUACUUCUUUGAGUCACGUUUCUCCAUAUAUCUGGCUCCUGUGUUGGUGAACUAGCGUCCUUCUCAGGGGAGUCCCCUGUCUCCUCCUUGGUGGAGACGGUGUGCUCUGUUGCUUCCAAGAAGAGUUCCAGCUCUCUAAUUCUUUGGAGCGUAGCUACACGUUCCUCCAGUUGCUGGACUUUGUCUUUUAAGAGGGCAAUCAGCAUGCAAUUGCUGCAGGUAAAGCUGCCUGCAACCUUUGGCAAGAUGGCAAACAUUGCGCAGGAACCGCAGGCGACUGCAGCUGUUCCCUCCCCCUCCAUCUUGAGAACGUGUCGUUGGGGGUGGCUACAGCGGUCCUCCAUCAUAAAAAGCAUGAAGACAGGGAAAAUAACUCCCCACAAAAAACCUAGGUCUCCCCAACAAACGUUUGAGACUAGCUCCCCUAAAUCUAAAAGAUGGAUCAAACUGCGCGCGCCGCUAGGCGCGCGCCGCUGCCCUGCAAUCUCUGAUAAGCUCCUCCCACAGCUAAUCACCUGCCUCAACAGAAACCCUGCCCCCUCUGACCUUUGCACAGGGAGAGCAGCCAAUCAGCCACAAAGAAACACACACACACACACACACACACAAGAAAAACCCCUUUUGCUCCUUCUUCAGCUGCUGCCCUGCAAGCUCUGAUAAGCUCCUCCCACAGCUAAUCACCUGCCUCAACAGAAACCCUGCCCCCUCUGACCUUUGCACAGGGAGAGCAGCCAAUCAGCCACAAAGAAACACACACACACACACACACACACGAAAACCCUUUUGCUCCUUCUUCAGCUGCUGCCCUGCAAGCUCUGAUAAGCUCCUCCCACAGCUAAUCACCUGCCUCAACAGAAACCCUGCCCCCUCUGACCUUUGCACAGGAGAGCAGCCAAUCAGCCACAAGAAACACACACACACACACACACACAAGAAAACCCUUUUUGCUCCUUCUUCAGCUGCUGCCCUGCAAGCUCUGAUAAGCUCCUCCCACAGCUAAUCACCUGCCUCAACAGAAACCCUGCCCCUCUGACCUUUGCACAGGGAGAGCAGCCAAUCAGCCACAAAGAACACACACACACACACACACAAGAAAACCCUUCUGCUCCUUCUUCAGCUGCUGCCCUGCAAGCUCUGAUAAGCUCCUCCCACAGCUAAUCACCUGCCUCAACAGAAACCCUGCCCCCUCUGACCUUUGCACAGGGAGAGCAGCCAAUCAGCCACAAAGAAACACACAUACACACACACAAGAAAACCCUUUUGCUCCUUCUUCAGCUGCUGCCCUGCAAGCUCUGAUAAGCUCCUCCCACAGCUAAUCACCUGCCUCAACAGAAACCCUGCCCCUCUGACGUUUGCUCAGGGAGAGCAGCCAAUCAGCCACAAAGAAACACACAUACACACACACAAGAAAACCCUUUUGCUCCUUCUUCAGCUGCUGCCCUGCAAGCUCUGAUAAGCUCCUCCCACAGCUAAUCACCUGCCUCAACAGAAACCCUGCCCCCUCUGACCUUUGCACAGGGAGAGCAGCCAAUCAGCCACAAAGAAACACACAUACACACACACAAGAAAACCCUUUUGCUCCUUCUUCAGCUGCUGCCCUGCAAUCUCUGAUAAGCUCCUCCCACAGCUAAUCACCUGCCUCAACAGAAACCCUGCCCCCUCUGACCUUUGCACAGGGAGAGCAGCCAAUCAGCCACAAAGAAACACACACACACACACACACACACACAAGAAAACCCUUUUUGCUCCUUCUUCAGCUGCUGCCCUGCAAGCUCUGAUAAGCUCCUCCCACAGCUAAUCACCUGCCUCAACAGAAACCCUGCCCCCUCUGACCUUUGCACAGGGAGAGCAGCCAAUCAGCCACAAAGAAACACACACACACACACACACACAAGAAAACCCUUUUUGCUCCUUCUUCAGCUGCUGCCCUGCAAGCUCUGAUAAGCUCCUCCCACAGCUAAUCACCUGCCUCAACAGAAACCCUGCCCCCUCUGACCUUUGCACAGGAGAGCAGCCAAUCAGCCACAAAGAACACACACACACACACACACAAGAAAACCCUUUUGCUCCCUCGUCAGCUGCUGCCCUGCAAGCUCUGAUUAGCUCGUCGCACUGCUAUUCACCUUCCUAAACAGAAACCCUUGCCCUUCUGAUCUUUGAUCAGUUAUAGCAGCCUAUCAGAGACAAAGAAACACAAAUACACACACACAAGAAAACCCUUUUGCUCCUUCUUCAGCUGCUGCCCUGCAAGCUCUGAUAAGCUCCUCCCACAGCUAAUCACCUGCCUCAACAGAAACCCUGCCCCCUCUGACCUUUGCACAGGGAGAGCAGCCAAUCAGCCACAAAGAAACACACAUACACACACACAAGAAAACCCUUUUGCUCCUUCUUCAGCUGCUGCCCUGCAAGCUCUGAUAAGCUCCUCCCACAGCUAAUCACCUGCCUCAACAGAAACCCUGCCCCCUCUGACCUUUGCACAGGGAGAGCAGCCAAUCAGCCACAAAGAAACACACAUACACACACACAAGAAAACCCUUUUUGCUCCUUCUUCAGCUGCUGCCCUGCAAGCUCUGAUAAGCUCCUCCCACAGCUAAUCACCUGCCUCAACAGAAACCCUGCCCCCUCUGACCUUUGCACAGGGAGAGCAGCCAAUCAGCCACAAAGAAACACACAUACACACACACACACAAGAAAACCCUUUUUGCUCCUUCUUCAGCUGCUGCCCUGCAAGCUCUGAUAAGCUCCUCCCACAGCUAAUCACCUGCCUCAACAGAAACCCUGCCCCCUCUGACCUUUGCACAGGGAGAGCAGCCAAUCAGCCACAAAGAAACACACAUACACACACACAAGAAAACCCUUUUGCUCCUUCUUCAGCUGCUGCCCUGCAAUCUCUGAUAAGCUCCUCCCACAGCUAAUCACCUGCCUCAACAGAAACCCUGCCCCCUCUGACCUUUGCACAGGGAGAGCAGCCAAUCAGCCACAAAGAACACACACACACACACACACAAGAAAACCCUUUUUGCUCCUUCUUCAGCUGCUGCCCUGCAAGCUCUGAUAAGCUCCUCCCACAGCUAAUCACCUGCCUCAACAGAAACCCUGCCCCCUCUGACCUUUGCACAGGGAGAGCAGCCAAUCAGCCACAAAGAAACACACAUACACACACACAAGACAACCCUAUUUGCUCCUUCUUCAGCUGCUGCCCUGCAAGCUCUGAUAAGCUCCUCCCACAGCUAAUCACCUGCCUCAACAGAAACCCUGCCCCCUCUGACCUUUGCACAGGGAGAGCAGCCAAUCAGCCACAAAGAAACACACAUACACACACACAAGAAAACCCUAUAUGCUCCUUCUUCAGCUGCUGCCCUGCAAGCUCUGAUAAGCUCCUCCCACAGCUAAUCACCUGCCUCAACAGAAACCCUGCCCCCUCUGACCUUUGCACAGGGAGAGCAGCCAAUCAGCCACAAAGAAACACACACACACACACACACAAGAAAACCCUUUUUGCUCCUUCUUCAGCUGCUGCCCUGCAAGCUCUGAUAAGCUCCUCCCACAGCUAAUCACCUGCCUCAACAGAAACCCUGCCCCCUCUGACCUUUGCACAGGGAGAGCAGCCAAUCAGCCACAAAGAAACACACAUACACACACACAAGAAAACCCCGAUUUUGCUCCUUCUUCAGCUGCUGCCCUGCAAUCUCUGAUAAGCUCCUCCCACAGCUAAUCACCUGCCUCAACAGAAACCCUGCCCCCUCUGACCUUUGCACAGGGAGAGCAGCCAAUCAGCCACAAAGAAACACACACACACACACACACACACAAGAAAACCCUUUUUGCUCCUUCUUCAGCUGCUGCCCUGCAAGCUCUGAUAAGCUCCUCCCACAGCUAAUCACCUGCCUCAACAGAAACCCUGCCCCCUCUGACCUUUGCACAGGGAGAGCAGCCAAUCAGCCACAAAGACACACACACACACACACACACACACACAAGAAAAACCCCUUUUGCUCCUUCUUCAGCUGCUGCCCUGCAAGCUCUGAUAAGCUCCUCCCACAGCUAAUCACCUGCCUCAACAGAAACCCUGCCCCCUCUGACCUUUGCACAGGGAGCAGCCAAUCAGCCACAAAGAAACACACAUACACACACACAAGAAAACCCUUUUUGCUCCUUCUUCAGCUGCUGCCCUGCAAGCUCUGAUAAGCUCCUCCCACAGCUAAUCACCUGCCUCAACAGAAACCCUGCCCCCUCUGACCUUUGCACAGGGAGAGCAGCCAAUCAGCCACAAAGAAACACACAUACACACACACAAGAAAACCCUUUUUGCUCCUUCUUCAGCUGCUGCCCUGCAAGCUCUGAUAAGCUCCUCCCACAGCUAAUCACCUGCCUCAACAGAAACCCUGCCCCCUCUGACCUUUGCACAGGGAGAGCAGCCAAUCAGCCACAAAGAAACACACACACACACACACACACACAAGAAAACCCUUUUUGCUCCUUCUUCAGCUGCUGCCCUGCAAGCUCUGAUAAGCUCCUCCCACAGCUAAUCACCUGCCUCAACAGAAACCCUGCCCCUCUGACCUUUGCACAGGGAGAGCAGCCAAUCAGCCACAAAGAACACACACACACACACACACACAAGAAAACCCUCUUCAGCUGCUGCCCUGCAAGCUCUGAUAAGCUCCUCCCACAGCUAAUCACCUGCCUCAACAGAAACCCUGCCCCCUCUGACCUUUGCACAGGGAGAGCAGCCAAUCAGCCACAAAGAAACACACAUACACACACACAAGAAAACCCUUUUUGCUCCUUCUUCAGCUGCUGCCCUGCAAGCUCUGAUAAGCUCCUCCCACAGCUAAUCACCUGCCUCAACAGAAACCCUGCCCCCUCUGACCUUUGCACAGGGAGAGCAGCCAAUCAGCCACAAAGAAACACACAUACACACACACAAGAAAACCCUUUUGCUCCUUCUUCAGCUGCUGCCCUGCAAGCUCUGAUAAGCUCCUCCCACAGCUAAUCACCUGCCUCAACAGAAACCCUGCCCCCUCUGACCUUUGCACAGGAGAGCAGCCAAUCAGCCACAAAGAAACACACAUACACACACACAGGAAAACCCUUUUGCUCCUUCUUCAGCUGCUGCCCUGCAAGCUCUGAUAAGCUCCUCCCACAGCUAAUCACCUGCCUCAACAGAAACCCUGCCCCCUCUGACCUUUGCACAGGGAGAGCAGCCAAUCAGCCACAAAGAAACACACAUACACACACACAAGAAAACCCUUUUGCUCCUUCUUCAGCUGCUGCCCUGCAAGCUCUGAUAAGCUCCUCCCACAGCUAAUCACCUGCCUCAACAGAAACCCUGCCCCCUCUGACCUUUGCACAGGGAGAGCAGCCAAUCAGCCACAAAGAAACACACACACACACACACACACAAGAAAACCCUUUUUGCUCCUUCUUCAGCUGCUGCCCUGCAAGCUCUGAUAAGCUCCUCCCACAGCUAAUCACCUGCCUCAACAGAAACCCUGCCCUCGGACCUUUGCACAGGGAGAGCAGCCAAUCAGCCACAAAGAAACACACAUACACACACACAAGAAAACCCUUUUGCUCCUUCUUCAGCUGCUGCCCUGCAAGCUCUGAUAAGCUCCUCCCACAGCUAAUCACCUGCCUCAACAGAAACCCUGCCCCCUCUGACCUUUGCACAGGAGAGCAGCCAAUCAGCCACAAAGAAACACACAUACACACACACAAGAAAACCCUUUUGCUCCUUCUUCAGCUGCUGCCCUGCAAGCUCUGAUAAGCUCCUCCCACAGCUAAUCACCUGCCUCAACAGAAACCCUGCCCCCUCUGACCUUUGCACAGGGAGAGCAGCCAAUCAGCCACAAAGAAACACACAUACACACACACAAGAAAACCCUUUUGCUCCUUCUUCAGCUGCUGCCCUGCAAGCUCUGAUAAGCUCCUCCCACAGCUAAUCACCUGCCUCAACAGAAACCCUGCCCCCUCUGACCUUUGCACAGGGAGAGCAGCCAAUCAGCCACAAAGAAACACACACACACACACACACACACACAAGAAAACCCUUUUGCUCCUUCUUCAGCUGCUGCCCUGCAAGCUCUGAUAAGCUCCUCCCACAGCUAAUCACCUGCCUCAACAGAAACCCUGCCCCCUCUGACCUUUGCACAGUGAGAGCAGAUAAUCAGCCACAAAGAAACACACACACACACACACACACAAGAAAACCCUUUUGCUCCUUCUUCAGCUGCUGCCCUGCAAGCUCUGAUAAGCUCCUCCCACAGCUAAUCACCUGCCUCAACAGAAACCCUGCCCCCUCUGACCUUUGCACAGGGAGAGCAGCCAAUCAGCCACAAAGAAACACACACACACACACACACACAAGAAAACCCUUUUGCUCCUUCUUCAGCUGCUGCCCUGCAAGCUCUGAUAAGCUCCUCCCACAGCUAAUCACCUGCCUCAACAGAAACCCUGCCCCCUCUGACCUUUGCACAGGGAGAGCAGCCAAUCAGCCACAAAGAAACACACACACACACACACACACAAGAAAACCCUUUUUGCUCCUUCUUCAGCUGCUGCCCUGCAAGCUCUGAUAAGCUCCUCCCACAGCUAAUCACCUGCCUCAACAGAAACCCUGCCCCCUCUGACCUUUGCACAGGGAGAGCAGCCAAUCAGCCACAAAGAAACACACAUACACACACACAAGAAAACCCUUUUUGCUCCUUCUUCAGCUGCUGCCCUGCAAGCUCUGAUAAGCUCCUCCCACAGCUAAUCACCUGCCUCAACAGAAACCCUGCCCCCUCUGACCUUUGCACAGGAGAGCAGCCAAUCAGCCACAAAGAAACACACAUACACACACACAAGAAAACCCUUUUUGCUCCUUCUUCAGCUGCUGCCCUGCAAGCUCUGAUAAGCUCCUCCCACAGCUAAUCACCUGCCUCAACAGAAACCCUGCCCCCUCUGACCUUUGCACAGGGAGAGCAGCCAAUCAGCCACAAAGAAACACACAUACACACACACACAAGAAAACCCUUUUUGCUCCUUCUUCAGCUGCUGCCCUGCAAGCUCUGAUAAGCUCCUCCCACAGCUAAUCACCUGCCUCAACAGAAACCCUGCCCCCUCUGACCUUUGCACAGGGAGAGCAGCCAAUCAGCCACAAAGAAACACACACACACACACACACACAAGAAAACCCUUUUUGCUCCUUCUUCAGCUGCUGCCCUGCAAGCUCUGAUAAGCUCCUCCCACAGCUAAUCACCUGCCUCAACAGAAACCCUGCCCCCUCUGACCUUUGCACAGGGAGAGCAGCCAAUCAGCCACAAAGAACACACACACACACACACACACAAGAAAACCCUUUUGCUCCUUCUUCAGCUGCUGCCCUGCAAGCUCUGAUAAGCUCCUCCCACAGCUAAUCACCUGCCUCAACAGAAACCCUGCCCCCUCUGACCUUUGCACAGGGAGAGCAGCCAAUCAGCCACAAAGAAACACACAUACACACACACAAGAAAACCCUUUUGCUCCUUCUUCAGCUGCUGCCCUGCAAGCUCUGAUAAGCUCCUCCCACAGCUAAUCACCUGCCUCAACAGAAACCCUGCCCCCUCUGACCUUUGCACAGGAGAGCAGCCAAUCAGCCACAAAGAAACACACAUACACACACACAAGAAAACCCUUUUGCUCCUUCUUCAGCUGCUGCCCUGCAAGCUCUGAUAAGCUCCUCCCACAGCUAAUCACCUGCCUCAACAGAAACCCUGCCCCCUCUGACCUUUGCACAGGGAGAGCAGCCAAUCAGCCACAAAGAAACACACAUACACACACACAAAGAAAACCCUUUUUGCUCCUUCUUCAGCUGCUGCCCUGCAAGCUCUGAUAAGCUCCUCCCACAGCUAAUCACCUGCCUCAACAGAAACCCUGCCCCCUCUGACCUUUGCACAGGGAGAGCAGCCAAUCAGCCACAAAGAAACACACAUACACACACACACACAAGAAAAACCCCUUUUGCUCCUUCUUCAGCUGCUGCCCUGCAAGCUCUGAUAAGCUCCUCCCACAGCUAAUCACCUGCCUCAACAGAAACCCUGCCCCCUCUGACCUUUGCACAGGGAGAGCAGCCAAUCAGCCACAAAGAAACACACAUACACACACACAAAGAAAACCCUUUUGCUCCUUCUUCAGCUGCUGCCCUGCAAGCUCUGAUAAGCUCCUCCCACAGCUAAUCACCUGCCUCAACAGAAACCCUGCCCCCUCUGACCUUUGCACAGGGAGAGCAGCCAAUCAGCCACAAAGAAACACACACACACACACACACAAGAAAACCCUUUUUGCUCCUUCUUCAGCUGCUGCCCUGCAAGCUCUGAUAAGCUCCUCCCACAGCUAAUCACCUGCCUCAACAGAAACCCUGCCCCCUCUGACCUUUGCACAGGGAGAGCAGCCAAUCAGCCACAAAGAAACACACAUACACACACACAAGAAAACCCUUUUUGCUCCUUCUUCAGCUGCUGCCCUGCAAGCUCUGAUAAGCUCCUCCCACAGCUAAUCACCUGCCUCAACAGAAACCCUGCCCCUCUGACCUUUGCACAGGGAGAGCAGCCAAUCAGCCACAAAGAAACACACAUACACACACACAAGAAAACCCUUUUGCUCCUUCUUCAGCUGCUGCCCUGCAAGCUCUGAUAAGCUCCUCCCACAGCUAAUCACCUGCCUCAACAGAAACCCUGCCCCCUCUGACCUUUGCCCAGGAGAGCAGCCAAUCAGCCACAAAGAACACACACACACACACACACACAAGAAAACCCUUUUGCUCCUUCUUCAGCUGCUGCCCUGCAAGCUCUGAUAAGCUCCUCCCACAGCUAAUCACCUGCCUCAACAGAAACCCUGCCCCCUCUGACCUUUGCACAGGGAGAGCAGCCAAUCAGCCACAAAGAAACACACAUACACACACACAAGAAAACCCUUUUGCUCCUUCUUCAGCUGCUGCCCUGCAAGCUCUGAUAAGCUCCUCCCACAGCUAAUCACCUGCCUCAACAGAAACCCUGCCCCCUCUGACCUUUGCACAGGGAGAGCAGCCAAUCAGCCACAAAGAACCACACACACACACACACACACAAGAAAACCCUUUUGCUCCUUCUUCAGCUGCUGCCCUGCAAGCUCUGAUAAGCUCCUCCCACAGCUAAUCACCUGCCUCAACAGAAACCCUGCCCCUCUGACCUUUUCACAGGGAGAGCAGCCAAUCAGCCACACAGACACACACACACCCACACACACACACACAAGAAACCCCUUUUGCUCCUUCUUCAGCUGCUGCCCUGCAAGCUCUGAUAAGCUCCUCCCACAGCUAAUCACCUGCCUCAACAGAAACCCUGCCCCCUCUGACCUUUGCACAGGAGAGCAGCCAAUCAGCCACAAAGAAACACACAUACACACACACAAGAAAACCCUUUUGCUCCUUCUUCAGCUGCUGCCCUGCAAGCUCUGAUAAGCUCCUCCCACAGCUAAUCACCUGCCUCAACAGAAACCCUGCCCCCUCUGACCUUUGCACAGGGAGAGCAGCCAAUCAGCCACAAAGAAACACACAUACACACACACAAGAAAACCCAUUUUGCUCCUUCUUCAGCUGCUGCCCUGCAAGCUCUGAUAAGCUCCUCCCACAGCUAAUCACCUGCCUCAACAGAAACCCUGCCCCCUCUGACCUUUGCACAGGGAGAGCAGCCAAUCAGCCACAAAGAAACACACACACACACACACACACACAAGAAAACCCUUUUUGCUCCUUCUUCAGCUGCUGCCCUGCAAGCUCUGAUAAGCUCCUCCCACAGCUAAUCACCUGCCUCAACAGAAACCCUGCCCCCUCUGACCUUUGCACAGGGAGAGCAGCCAAUCAGCCACCAACAAACACCCACACACAACAAAACCCCUUUCGCUCCUACUUCAACUGCUGCCCUGCAAGCUCUGAUAAGCUCCGCACACAGCUAAACACCUGCCUCAACCGAAACCCUGCCCCCUCUGACCUUUGCACAGGAGAGCAGCCAAUCAGCCACAAAGAAACACACAUACACACACACUAGAAUCACCAUUUUGCUCCUUCUUCAGCUGCUGCCCUGCAAGCUCUGAUAAGCUCCUCCCACAGCUAAUCACCUGCCUCAACAGAAACCCUGCCCCCUCUGACCUUUGCACAGGGAGAGCAGCCAAUCAGCCACAAAGAAACACACAUACACACACACAAGAAAACCCUUUUGCUCCUUCUUCAGCUGCUGCCCUGCAAGCUCUGAUAAGCUCCUCCCACAGCUAAUCACCUGCCUCAACAGAAACCCUGCCCCCUCUGACCUUUGCACAGGGAGAGCAGCCAAUCAGCCACAAAGAAACACACAUACACACACACAAAAAAACCCUUUUGCUCCUUCUUCAGCUGCUGCCCUGCAAGCUCUGAUAAGCUCCUCCCACAGCUAAUCACCUGCCUCAACAGAAACCCUGCCCCCUCUGACCUUUGCACAGGGAGAGCAGCCAAUCAGCCACAAAGAAACACACAUACACACACACAAGAAAACCCUUUUGCUCCUUCUUCAGCUGCUGCCCUGCAAGCUCUGAUAAGCUCCUCCCACAGCUAAUCACCUGCCUCAACAGAAACCCUGCCCCCUCUGACCUUUGCACAGGGAGAGCAGCCAAUCAGCCACAAAGAAACACACACACACACACACACACAAGAAAACCCUUUUUGCUCCUUCUUCAGCUGCUGCCCUGCAAGCUCUGAUAAGCUCCUCCCACAGCUAAUCACCUGCCUCAACAGAAACCCUGCCCCCUCUGACCUUUGCACAGGGAGAGCAGCCAAUCAGCCACAAAGAAACACACAUACACACACACAAGAAAACCCUUUUUGCUCCUUCUUCAGCUGCUGCCCUGCAAUCUCUGAUAAGCUCCUCCCACAGCUAAUCACCUGCCUCAACAGAAACCCUGCCCCCUCUGACCUUUGCACAGGGAGAGCAGCCAAUCAGCCACAAAGAAACACACAUACACACACACAAGAAAACCCUUUUUGCUCCUUCUUCAGCUGCUGCCCUGCAAGCUCUGAUAAGCUCCUCCCACAGCUAAUCACCUGCCUCAACAGAAACCCUGCCCCCUCUGACCUUUGCACAGGGAGAGCAGCCAAUCAGCCACAAAGAAACACACAUACACACACACAAGAAAACCCUUUUUGCUCCUUCUUCAGCUGCUGCCCUGCAAGCUCUGAUAAGCUCCUCCCACAGCUAAUCACCUGCCUCAACAGAAACCCUGCCCCCUCUGACCUUUGCACUGGUGAGCAGCUUAUCAGGCACUAAGAAACACACAUACACACACACAAGAAAACCCUUUUGCUCCUUCUUCAGCUGCUGCCCUGCAAGCUCUGAUAAGCUCCUCCCACAGCUAAUCACCUGCCUCAACAGAAACCCUGCCCCCUCUGACCUUUGCACAGGGAGAGCAGCCAAUCAGCCACAAAGAAACACACAUACACACACACAAGAAAACCCUUUUUGCUCCUUCUUCAGCUGCUGCCCUGCAAGCUCUGAUAAGCUCCUCCCACAGCUAAUCACCUGCCUCAACAGAAACCCUGCCCCCUCUGACCUUUGCACAGGGAGAGCAGCCAAUCAGCCACAAAGAAACACACACACACACACACACACACACACAAGAAAACCCUUUUUGCUCCUUCUUCAGCUGCUGCCCUGCAAGCUCUGAUAAGCUCCUCCCACAGCUAAUCACCUGCCUCAACAGAAACCCUGCCCCCUCUGACCUUUGCACAGGGAGAGCAGCCAAUCAGCCACAAAGAAACACACACACACACACACACAAGAAAACCCUUUUUGCUCCUUCUUCAGCUGCUGCCCUGCAAGCUCUGAUAAGCUCCUCCCACAGCUAAUCACCUGCCUCAACAGAAACCCUGCCCCCUCUGACCUUUGCACAGGGAGAGCAGCCAAUCAGCCACAAAGAAACACACAUACACACACACAAGAAAACCCUUUUUGCUCCUUCUUCAGCUGCUGCCCUGCAAGCUCUGAUAAGCUCCUCCCACAGCUAAUCACCUGCCUCAACAGAAACCCUGCCCCCUCUGACCUUUGCACAGGGAGAGCAGCCAAUCAGCCACAAAGAAACACACACACACACACACACACAAGAAAACCCUUUUUGCUCCUUCUUCAGCUGCUGCCCUGCAAGCUCUGAUAAGCUCCUCCCACAGCUAAUCACCUGCCUCAACAGAAACCCUGCCCCCUCUGACCUUUGCACAGGGAGAGCAGCCAAUCAGCCACAAAGAGAAGCAGGGAGUCAUGAAGUCAAGGGUCCGAGGGUCAAGAAGCAGGGAGUCAUGAAGUCAAGGGUCCGAGGGUCGAGAAGCAGGGAGUCAUGAAGUCAAGGGUCCGAGGGUCGAGAAGCAGGGAGUCAUGAAGUCAAGGGUCCGAGGGUCGAGAAGCAGGGAGUCAUGAAGUCAAGGGUCCGAGGGUCGAGAAACAAGGAGUCGUGAAGUCAAGGGUCCGAGGGUCGAGAAGCAGGGAGUCAUGAAGUCAAGGGUCGAGAAACAAGGAGUCCUGAAGUCGAGGGUCCGAGGGUCAAGAAGCAGCGAGUCACGAAGUCGAGGGUCCAAGGGUCAAGAAGCAAGGAGUCACAAAGUCAAGGGUCCAAGGGUUGAUAAACAAGGAGUCAAGAAGCCAAGGUCUGAGGAUCAGGAAGCAAGAAGCCAAACGCAGCAAGGCAGGAAACGAGUUGUUGUGGCAAAGAGCCAAAGGGAAAUGCUGACCUUAUAUCCCUUCCCAGCUCUUGCCACCAGGUGCAGUGAGUUACAAGCAGCCUCACCUGUGAGCCUUGCCUCUCUAGAACAAACUUAGGAAGGCCCCAGUCCUGCGAAGCCCUACUAGUCACAGAGCCCGGCUCCUGCAUGCACUCCUGACACUUGCCACCAGUCGUGUGGAAUGAUUUCGUGGCCCCUGAAGACCCUUUCCACAUGUGCAGCUAUGAAUUCCUCACACACCAACCUUGAAAUUUGUUCCCAUGUAUAACGUCAUCCCAUUUCCAGCUCGAGUCUGGACGACAAACAGCCGUGACUUAUGUCAGAUUCAGAGAAAGAAAAAUGACCCUGCUCUCCAUCUGGGGUUGAAGUGAGUUUUUUAAUUUAUUUAACCCACAUGGAAGUAUCUAAGAAGCCCUUAAAAGCUCCACAGGUAAGAACGGCUGUGGUCAUGACUGGCCUGAGGCAAAGGACAAGAUGGCGGUUGCCUGCAUUAGUUGCACAGAGACAACUGGGUCCAACUCUAGCAUCCUCCAUUGCACCUGAAGAUCACAGGGCGGCUGACAGCAUAAAAAUACGGAAUGAAAUUCCUUCAGGGAUGCAGGAGAGACUGCAUGGCUCAGGCCAGGGGUCAGCAAACUUUUUCAGCAGGGGGCCGAUCCACCGUCCCUCAGACCAUGUGGUGGGCCGGACUAUAUUUUGGAAAAAACCAAAAUGAACGAAUUCCGAUGCCCCACAAAUAACCCAGGGAUGCAUUUUAAAUAAAAGCACACAUUUUACUCAUGUAAAAACACACUGAUUCCCGGACUGUACGUGGGCCAGAUUUAGAAGGUGAUUGGGCCGGAUCCGGCCCCCGGGCCUUAGGUUGCCUACCCAUGGCUCAGGCACACACAUAGGCCCAGCUGUUGCUGUUUGGUAUCAGCUUAGCAGUAUUUAGCACAAAUCCAUCACUCAGCCAAAUUUGUCUUAUGAGAUAAAAAAAUAUUUAUUUAUUAAUACCAGGGAGUGCCUGAUGCUGCCUGGGAAUUUGCUGAAACCAUUUUUGUGUGUGUGUGAUUUUUAAACGGGUACUUCAGUUUGUGAGGUAGGACCCGCCACGCCAACAACUGAGCGAAGUCACAUUUUUGUCUGCCAUCUUGAUUCAAAAUGGCGCCUGGGACCCAAACAUUGGCAGAGGCCCCCUCCCCCAACUCGGGAAUAUUUGUGGUAUACAAUUUUUAAAAAAAUAAAUCAGUCUAUAAUCAAUCAAUUGAUCAGUCUACAACCUUUGGCAAUGCCAACUGUUGUCUGAAUGACCCAGGCAGAAAAACAGAGGAACAUCGGGUUAUACCAAUGGUCCAUCUAUAUUUCAGUAUUGUCUACACUGGGUUUCUCAGAGAUACUACUGGGGACGGACGUUCUGCAUGCAAAACACGUGUCCUACCACUGAGCACUGCCCUACCCUUUCCCCCUCAUGCCACCGCAAAAGGGAGGAAGCUGCUGAAAGAUGAACAGAGGCCAGAGGUUUUGGAAGAAAAAUGAAUUAAUAUUGGGCCGGAAGUUUAAAAUUUAAACACUUCCUCCCUCUUAUUCUCUUGUAACUCAGAGGCAGACAUGUUUUGCAAUUUGUUGCGGUCGGGGGAUUUCAAGUCCUGUAUCGAAACCGUACAGGUUUUGACAAACGGCCGCCCAAGUGUGAAAGAUGGAUUUGAUGCAACAAGAAUAUGAAGGGAUACGGACAAAAAGGUGUUUGUGCAGAAAUGGUCAUUUUGGUUUUGGAGCAUCUUCUGGGAUGCCCAGCCACAGUCUCACCUGCAACCAGGUCAAAGGAAAGACCUCGAGAUCCAACAGAGAGAGAGAGAGUAAAGCAAUAAUCAGCUCAAUGAUAACUUGCAAAUCCAGCAUAAAAUGAGGGCAAAUGUUGAUUUUUGGUAUAGCACUGGCUGAUUUAUGAGACUGCAGGUAACAGGAAAAUUGCAAGCACUCAGAGAACCUGGGAUGCACCCAACUCCAACCUCUCUGCGUGGCGUCUUCCAGAUGUUAUGAACUACAAGUCCCUUCAGCCCCGAGCCAGGACAGCCGUGUCUUUUUAUUUCUUUUAUUUUGUAAAAUCUAUGCACCGCUUGAUUGUAAAAAGAACCAACCGCCUCGAAGUGGCUUACAAAACUGCAAAACAAUAAAAUCAUCAGGAGAAAAUUGCAGCAAUAGUUUAAAACAUACAAAAAGUGAAAAUACUAAAACAGGUUACAAUUUUCACACCAACUUUCCAAGCAUCUGCAGAGGCAAACCAGAAUGUUUGCAGCCAAAACAGAUACAGCGAAAGCGUCUUGCUUGAUAUCAUGAGGCAGGGAGUUCCAGAGUGUAAGUGCUGCCAUGCUAAACGACCAAGUUCCUACAUAUGAUGUUGCGGCUGACGGGAGUUGCAUUGCGAAAUCUCAAAACAGGUUGGGGAAGGGCUUGUGUAGAGAUGUGUGAUCGUCACAAGCGUAGGCAAACUCCGGCCCUCCAGAUGUUUGGGACUACAAUUCCCAUCAUCCCUAGCUAACAGGACCAGUCGUCAGGGAUGAUGGGAAUUGUAGUCUCAAAACAUCUGGCGGGCCGGGUUUGCCUAUGCCUGGCAAAAACAAUGGAGGGUCAUGUGGCACAUUAAUGGCCAAUAUGUUUAUUGCGGCAUAAGUUUUCAUGAACUAGAGGCCACCUCCUCAGGGGCUGCUCUGUGGAAGCUGGUGCCAGCCUUUGUCAUCAAGGUGUUCUCCAGAUGUUUUGGACCACCCCAUUCCACCAGUCUCAGCAACUGCAGCCAAGCAGUGCAAAACAUCUGAGGGCACCAAGAUGGGGAUGGCUGGGUCACGAAUCUGCAAGUGUGCAAGGCUCUCUGCUGAGACAGAACGACUCUCUCAAAAUACUUAACCCCGCAGGGCCCCUUCCGCCUUCACAGAAUUUAACACAAAUCUAUUAUUCGCCUUGGGAGAGAAAACAUGCUUUCUUGGACCAUGCAAGAACAUGGGUUGAAGAGAGUGGCCUGUCCCACUAGAUUGCUCCUUUCUCAAUAAAAAUGUGUAUUAGGCUUUUUCUAAAGGCGAGAAAGAAUUCUGUUGUGCCAAGGGCUUGAGUGGGCGAUUUCACCACUAAAACAAAAGGCCCCACUCUGUAUCAAAAGCAAUCUAAAUUCUAAUCGUCAGAUAUCAUCACAGCACAUGGCCUUUACUGCUGUCCUAGGCUUGUCCAAAAACUACCACUAAAGCCCACUCCUUUUGUUGAUAGUCCCAGAAUAGUACUUUGAAGCAAGCCCUGUCUUCUUAUGUAAUGCUGGAUGGGCGACGAAGUACCAUGUUAGUAUGCCAAUGUGCUUUGCUUUGCUAUCACUCUGCACCCGGUUUUUAUUCCUGCAUUUCAGAAGGGGGUUGGACUAGAUGAGGGGGUCCCUUGCAACUCUACAGUUCUGUGGAAUCAGGUGUCUGGCAUGUGCAAUGCUGCACUGGUUAGGUUCUUCUUGCUCCACCCAGAACCACGUCUCAGUCAGUCCGGGGUGCCCUGAAAUCCAUGGAACUUGCCUGUUGAGAAAACUUGCUUGGCACUCAAAUGUCAAGAGAGGACUGCUUGCAUUGCUCAUGGUCUCCAUUCUUUGCCGCUCCCAGUGGGCAGCAUGGCUGGGGUUUCAGAACCCUAGAAAUCCGCUGUGCUUUUGCGUCCUUAACAUUCGUCUGAAGACUGGCCAGUCAAGCUACGCUCAAACCAGCAGGGCAGUUUAAACUUGCAAAGCGGGUUCGAUUAGAUGAGCAACAUUCUAGGAUUCUAUGAAAGCUGUCAAGAAGCAGUAGGCCACAACCAUUUUCAUUACCUCCUUUCUCCAUGCAUGCCUGGGUGCCAGUCAUUUAUGACCUAAAGGAACAUACCCCCCCCCUCCCCGAGCUCCAUAGACAUAGAAUCAUACAGUUGGAACGGCCCACAAAAGUCGUCUAGUCCCUGCAAUGCAGCUUCCCCUUACGGGAAUUGAACCUGCAACCUUGACAUUAGCAACACCACACUCUAACCAACUGAGCUACCCGCCAGUUCCUUUGCCUGGUGAGAUUGCUACUUGCCACAGGUGAGCAGGUGUAUGUUUAUCUGCAAGUGUGGGUUACCAAACGCACCUCUGCAAGCUUGACGCCUAUGCAAAGGAUGCCGGAAAUGUCAGCUCGGAGCAGGGCAAACCUGAGCACAAAGAAGGGGCAGGAUAGUUCAAAUCCCACAUGCUUAAGGCUUCACUGCUUUGUGGAUGCACAGCACAUACUGUAUAACAGGAAAGCAAGACUUUCGAGGGUAGCCCUUUGAGAACUGUAAGCAAGCUUCCUUGGACUACAGUUUUAUCGUGUAUUGUUAUGCAUCUUCCCCUGCAACAUAAAAUCAGUUUUGGUCAUCUAUUCUCAGUUCCCUGCAAUGCAGGAAUUGCAUGCAGUCACAAGAGUGUCUUGGCAUAUCCUAAGGCAGCCUCCCCCAAAGCGUUGCUCUUUGUAUAAUCUGGCGAUUCCAACCCGCCAUGACUCCAGCCAGAUUGGCCAAGGAGUUAUGGGAGCUGUGGUCUGACAGCAGGUAAGGGCAGCCAGGUUAGGGGUGGCACUCCCAGUUCCAGGGCUGGACCAAAGACACUUGGGUGUUUGAGGUGAGACAUUCAGGCAGCAGCACUCUGUACCCCAUUCAUUUAAAAUGGGGUGCAAGUCACCAGGAAGUUUUCAACGGGAGUUGUGCAAGAGCUCUCGACGGGGUUGCAACGGAGAAUCUACUAGUGGGUCGUGUCCCACAGGGCUGGAUUCAUCUUCCCUCUCCAACAACCUGAACGUCCACCUUCAAGGCUGAUGCCUCUCCCUGUGCCCAGUGGUGAAAUCCAUCAGGCUUUGGCGAGGGCUGGCGAUGAUGUGUCUUAGAAGAAGCCUCUGCGACAGCAAGUCAUCACCACUGGCAAAGCAAGAGGGAAAGGAUUCCAACCCUACAAUAGGAGACGUCAGGGACAUAUUUUGCCCUAAGUUACCCCUGGAUUCAGAAGACACACAAACCAGAGUCAGGGCUCCUCCACACUUACUACCUACCCCACAAUUUCUAGACACAGGUCCACGCUUUCCUGGUCUGUGUCUGAGAUUUUUUAAAUAAAAAAAAAUCCCGCUGCUUUUUCCAGGAAAAGCUGAUCUUUACUGCUGAACCGGAACAAACAGCAAUUAGGAUUUUCCACUUAAUUGUUUUCAGUGGUAAAGAGCGAGUCUUCGUGGAGAAAGCGCUGGGGCAAUAAAAUAAAACAAAACUAAAAAGCACUCGGACACAGGACCUGGAUAGCUCAGACCUCUGCCUAGAAAUAUGAUGAAGGUUAAGUGUGGUCCUACAACCAUAGCAAUGUUUCUGCUUCUGCAGUCUCUUCCUUCAAGGGAUCCAAAUGAUUAGAGCCUCACCUCCAUUCAAGGAUGCUGAAAUGUUGUUUUCCAAACAGAAAAAAGUGACUUUAAAAUAUCAAAUAGAUCAGAAGUACAGAAGUUGGGGUUUUUUUGGGGGGAGGGAUGUUUGCCUGGGCUCUCAAAUUCAUUACACUGUGAAGGAAGAAAACAAGAAUGAAAACCCAGAAGAGGAUGGAGAUACACCCCCCCCCCAUUUCUUAGGGGAGUCUCAAGUCCACACUCCCCAAGCUGAGCAGUCCCAUCCCCUUUGGGCUGCACUGGAUCCAAGUGCCUGGGAUUUAAUUCAAUUUACCAGGGCCCUGCAGGAUCUGGUUUCUUUCCGCAGGGCCUGUAAGAGAGAGUCGUUCCGCCUGGCCUUUGGCUUGGAAUCAACUUGAUCCCCUCCCCCUCUUUCCUUUUUCCUUUCUUCUUCUGUGAUGGAACUCCUAUUUGGGGACUUCCCUGGCUUUUUUCUGGCCCAUGUAGGACCAGUCUGGAUAGUUGGCCUUGGGGAAGACUUGACGUUUUCAUUCCCAAAAAAGUUUUUGAGCUUCUGCUGAAAUGAGGCUGCAUUUUAAUGUUGUAUUUUAAUCUUAUUUUCAAGUUGUAUUUCAAUCAUAGAAUCAUAGAAUCAUAGAGUUGGAAGAGACCACAAGGGCCAUCGAGUCCAACCCCCUGCCAAGCAGGAAACACCAUCAGAGCACUCCUGACAUAUGGUUGUCAAGACUCUGCUUAAAGACCUCCAAAGAAGGAGACUCCACCACACUCCUUGGCAGCAAAUUCCACUGUCGAACAGCUCUUACUGUCAGGAAGUUCUUCCUAAUGUUUAGGUGGAAUCUUCUUUCUUGUAGUUUGGAUCCAUUGCUCCGUGUCCGCUUCUCUGGAGCAGCAGAAAACAACCUUUCUCCCUCCUCUAUGUGACAUCCUUUUCUAUAUUUGAACAUGGCUAUCAUAUCACCCCUUAACCUCCUCUUCUCCAGGCUAAACAUGCCCAGCUCCCUUAGCCGUUCCUCAUAAGGCAUCGUUUCCAGGCCUUUGACCAUUUUGGUUGCCCUCCUCUGGACACAUUCCAGUUUGUCAAUGUCCUUCUUGAACUGUGGUGCCCAGAACUGGACACAGUACUCCAGGUGAGGUCUGACCAGAGCAGAAUACAGUGGCACUAUUACUUCCCUUGAUCUAGAUGCUAUACUCCUAUUGAUGCAGCCCAGAAUUGCAUUGGCUUUUUAGCUGCCGCGUCACACUGUUGGCUCAUGUCAAGUUUGUGGUCAACCAAGACUCCUAGAUCCUUUUCACAUGUACUGCUCUCAAGCCAGGUGUCCCCCAUCUUGUAUUUGUGCCUCUCAUUUUUUUGCCCAAGUGCAAUACUUUACAUUUCUCCCUGUUAAAAUUCAUCUUGUUUGUUUUGGCCCAGUUCUCUAAUCUGUCAAGGUCGUUUUGAAGUGUGAUCCUGUCCUCUGGGGUGUUAGCCACCCCUCCCAAUUUGGUGUCAUCUGCAAAUUUGAUCAGGAUGCCCUUGAGUCCAUCAUCCAAGUCAUUGAUAAAGAUGUUGAAUAAGACCGGGCCCAAGACAGAACCCUGUGGCACCCCACUAGUCACUCUUCUCCAGGAUGAAGAGGAACCAUUGAUGAGCACCCUUUGGGUUCGGUCAGUCAGCCAGUUACAAAUCCACUGAGUGGUAGCAUAGUCAAGACCACAUUUUACCAGCUUCUUUACAAGAAUAUCAUGAGGCACCUUGUCAAAUGCCUUGCUGAAAUCAAGGUAGGCUACAUCCACUGCGUUCCCUUCAUCUACCAGGCUUGUAAUUCUGUCAAAAACGAGAUCAGGUUAGUCUGACAUGACUUAUUUUUCAGAAAUCCAUGCUGACUAUUGGUGAUCACAGCAUUCCUUUCUAGGUGCUCACAGACUGUUUGCUUAAUGAUCUGCUCCAGAAUCUUCCCUGGUAUUGAUGUCAGACUGACUGGGCGGUAAUUAUUUGGGUCCUCUCUUUUCCCCUUUUUGAAAAUAGGGACAACAUUUGCCCUCCUCCAGUCUGCCGGGACUUCGCCUGUUCUCCAGGAAUUCUCAAAGAUGACUGCCAGUGGUUCUGAGAUCACAUCUGCCAGUUCUUUUAAUACUCUUGGAUGCAGUUCAUCUGGCCCUGGAGACUUGAAUACAUCUAAACUAGCCAAGUAUUCUUGUACUAUCUCCUUAGUUAUUCUGGGCUGUGUUUCCUCUGCUGAAUCAUUUGCUCCAAAUUCUUCAGGUCGGGCAUUGUUUUCUUUAUCGGAGAAGAUUGAGGCAAAGAAGGCAUUGAGGAGUUCAGCUCUUUCUGUGUCCCCUGUUUGCAUUUCACCAUCUUCUCCUCUGAGUGACCCCACUGUUUCUUUGUUCUUCCUUUUGCUACGGACAUACCCAUAAAAGCCUUUUUUGUUGCUUUUAACCUCUCUAGCAAGCCUGAGUUCAUUCUGUGCUUUAGCUUUUCUGACUUUGUGUCUACACGUGCUGGCUAUUUGUUUGAAUUCCUCUUUGGUGGUUUCCCCCCUUUUCCAUUUUUUGUACACAUCCUUUUUAAUCUUAACUCAGUUAAAAGUUCUUUAGAUAGCCACCCUGGCUUCUUUAGGCACCUUCCAUGUUUCCGUCUCAUUGGUAUUGCCUGACGUUGUGCUUUUAGUAUCUCCUCUUAACAAACUCCCAGCCAUCAUGAACUCCCUUUCCUUUUAGUAUUACUGUCCAUGGGAUCUCACCCAGCACUUCCCUAAGUUUUAUGAAGUCAGCUUUCUUAAAGUCAAGAAAUUGAGUCCUAGUAUGCUUGGCUGCUCCUUUCCGCUGUAUAGUAAACUUCAGAAGAGCAUGAUCACUCGCGCCUAAUGAUCCUUCCACUUCUACCCCACUAACCAGGUCAUCAACAUUGGUUAGGACCAGAUCUAAAAUGGCUGUUCCUCUUGUUGCUUCUCCCACUUUCUGGACAAUGAAGUUGUCUGCAAGGCCAGUGAGAAAUCUGUUUGACCUUAUGCUCUUGGCUGAGUUUGACAUCCAACAAAUAUCCGGGUAAUUGAAGUCCCCCAUUACUACUAUCUCCCUUCCUUUUGCAUGCUUGGCCAUCUGUUCCAGGAAGGCAUCAUCUAUGUCCUCCGUUUGGCUUGGGGAUCUAUAGUAAACUCCCACAAUGAGGUCACUGUUAUUCUUCUCUCCCUUAAUUUUGACCCAAAUGCUCUCACUUUGGCUUUGAGGUUCUAAAUCUUGGAUCUCUUCACAGGUAUACACAUCCCUGACAUAUAACGCCACUCCUCCUCCUUUCUUGUCUGGUCUGUUUCUCUGAAAUAGAUUGUAUCCCCCCAUUAUUACAUUCCAAUCGUGGGACUUAUCCCACCAGGUUUCAGUGAUGCCUAUUAUGUCAUAUUUAGUUUGCUGUACCAAGAGCUCCAGCUCAUCUUGUUUAUUUCCCAUGCUUUGCGCAUUAGUGUACAGACACUGAAGUCCAUUAAUCAUCCCCCCGUGACUCUUAUUUAAGGAUUUUUUCCUCCCACCACUAGGUCUGUGUGCUGUUUGCUCCAUUUGGUCUAUGACAUUUGGAUGAUCAUCUUCAUCGAUUGAUAGACUCCUACCUUCAGGAGCACUGUCUCCCUCCCCCACAUUAGUCAGUUUAAAGCCCUCCUGAUGAGGUUUCUGAGAUUUUUGGCAAAAACAUUUCUCCCAACCGUUGUGAGGUGCAGCCCAUCGCUUGCCAGAAGUCCAUCUUCAAGAAACUGCAGUCCGUGAUCUAAGAAUCCAAACCGUUCCUGUUUACACCAUUUGCGAAGCCAGCUGUUCACUUCCGUAUUUUCCCCUCUCUCCCUGGGCCAUGUCGUUCAACUGGGAGGACAGAUGAGAUGACAAUUUGUGCAUUUAAUUGCUUCAAUUUCCUGCCCAGAGCCUCGUAGUCUCUUUUGAUCUUCUGGAGGCUAUUGCUUGCAGUGUCAUUGGUUCCCACAUGAACCAAGAGGAAGGGGUAUUUGUCAGUGGGUUUUAUGAUUCCUUGCAGUGGGUAUUUGUCAGUGGGUUUUAUGAUUGUCAGUGGGUUUUAUGAUUCCUUGCAGUGGGUUUUAUGAUUCCUUGCAGUCGUUCAGUUACAUCUUGGAUCUUAGCCCCGGGGAGACAGCACACUUCCCGAGAUUUUAUACCAGUGUUAGCUGCCCUGAGGGCUAUUAUUAUUAUUAUUAUUAUUAUUAUUAUUAUUAUUAUUAAAUUUUAUUUAUACCCUGCCCUCCCCAGCCAAGACCGGGCUCAGGGCAGCUAACACUGGUAUAAAAUCGCCAGUGUUAGCUGCCCUGAGCCCGGUCUUGGCUGGGGAGGGGAGGGUAUAAAUAAAAUUUAAUAAUAAUAAUAAUAAUAAUAAUAAUAAUAAUAAUAAUAAUAAUAAUAAUUUACACCGUGCCACACAGCCCCCUGCCCAAGGAAGCGCAGGGCGUCCGCCGUAGACAGCUCAGUCCCUCACAGCCGGCGCCAUUUUGCUGUGAUCAAAGUGGGCAGCUGGAGUGGGAUUUUUAACAAAAAGCCUCUGUGUCUGCACGCAAAGGUAGGCAGGCAGACGUGCAGCUGGUUGGCCCUGGAGAACAGCAAAGGUCUGUCCCUUUCCUUAUUCAAGCUCAGCUUUGCUUCCAAACAAUGCAAACCCCGGCAGGUGUCUUGUGAUCAUCCUCCUCCUUGCAUGUUCACGGUUUCCUACAAGUUUGGGUAACUGCAUCUGAAUGCAUCCAGCACAACGCUCUCAUUCCUUCAGGAACCCACUAGAGACACUUCCUUCCUUCAUUUUAGACGAGGGCAGAAUUACUGCUUGCAUAGGAGAAGGGACCGGACAAAAGGACCUCCAAAACUAAUAGAUCAUAUGGAGCAAGAUCUUUUUCUCCCAACUAAAUUGAUUUCUGGUGUGCAUGCAGAUUUUUGGCACCCAGAGGCUUAGAACUUCCAGGGGGAAGCAAGUGAUCAAUUCUUUUUUUCUUAAGCUGGCAAGCAAACUUUUUCACGCAGAGAACAGGUUUUCCUCUGCCUGUCUCGCAACGUUAUUUCUGUUCUCUCUCUUGCCUGCAAGAGUCAACCCCGGGGCUCCUAACUUGAUUUCUCCUUCAAAAUAACUUCAAACUAUCUGUUGUUAUACAGAGCUGAGACUGCCCUUCUCCCACGACAGCUGAGAGAUUUACUGGGACUGUUUUUGUGAAUAAAAAUUUAUCGGCACCCUUUGCACAUCACAGUAAACCACAGGUAAGGAAUGUGCCUGAUUUGGGUGUUUGUCCCUUUUCGACUAGCAUUAGGAGGAAAUAAAUCGCAGGCCCUGGUUUAGACAUUAUUAUUAUUAUUAUUAUUAUUAGACUUUUACUAGCAUGUCCCAGGGCAGGUUGCAACAAAUACCAAUUCCGUAUUGCUAACAGGUAAAACAAAUUGCGGUCCCAGGAAUAGGAUGGGUCCUGAAAACACAGACCUCAGGUGUCAAAGUUCAGGAGAAAGAGGUGUGGAUAUGUCAGUUGCAAAAAGCUGUGCAGAGGGAGAUGCAAAGCUUAGGGGCCGCUAGAGAGAAGGCCCUCUUGUCACUGCUACCCCCAAAUUUCUGUGGGGGGCGGGACAAUCAAGAGAGUGCCUAGGAUCCACGUACCUAUGGGACCGCCUCUCCUGGUAUGCCCCGCGGAGGACCUUAAAGUCCACAAAUGACAACAUUUUGGAAGUCCCAAGUUGCAAAGUGGUUAGAUUGGUCUCAACUAGGGCCAGGGCCUUUUCAGUAGUGGCCCUGACGUGGUGGAACGCUCUGUCACAAGAGACCAGGGCCCUGCGGGACUUGACAUCUUUCCUCAGGGCCUGCAAGACAGAGCUGUUCCGCCUGGCCUUUGGUUUGGACUCAGUCUGACCCUUAUGUUUCCCUUCCUUUAUGGUUGUGAUCUAUUGGCUACUUUUAAAAUGAGGCUGCAUUUUAAAUUAUAUUUUAAUCUGUAUUUUAAAUUGUUUUCCCCCUCCCCUAUUAUGUUUUUACUGUAAUUUUACUGGUGUUAAUUGCCCUGAGCCCGGCUCUGGCCGGGGUAUAAAUAAAAUUUAUUAUUGUUGUUGUUGUUAUUAUUAUCAUCUGCCAAUCUGAGAGGAAAGGACGGGGUCUCUCCCCGAUACCCUACGUCAGGGGUGGCCAACUCCCAAGAGACUGCAAUCUACUCAGGGCAAAAUUGUUGAGCUAUUUUUGAGGAGGAAAGCCCCGAUUUUGGGGAGCUCCAGGCUAAAAUGCUGCCCAUUUUUAAGGGAAAAGUGGAACAGCCGCUCACCAACAGAUUGCUGGGGAAACAAACAACCUCACUGAGUAGACUCUUCGUCUUCCUUUCUGCAAAUCGUGCAACAAUGGAGGGCAGGGCGGGAAUCGAUUUUUAGCAACGCUAAGGAAAGGGACCCAGCGAUCGACAGCGAUCUACCAAAACCUCCUGGGGAUCUACCAGUAGAUCGCGAUCGACCUGUUGGAUGCCCCUGUCCCAUUAACUAUGGUUUACCGCGACGUGUGAACAACACCCCCCCCUGAACAUCAGGUAAAUGUUCAAAGAGGUGUUGCAAUGCUUAAAUUCAGAGGAAUUCAGAAGCAUGGCUGGAUUUACACACACACCUAAAUCUUAGGCCUGCCUUUCUUAAUAAGGGCCUGCAAACAGGGAAAUAAAUAAAUGGCUUGGAGGGAAUGCAUGGGGUCACGCGCUCACCCUUACGCCCCCCCCCGCCAAGCUCAGCACUGAGCAAGAUUUGCUUAAAUUUGGGCUCUGAAAACCCACUUGAAGUCCCGCGGAUACGAAGAAACCCUAACGAGUGCCAAGCGGUCGAUGUCUUAACCUUCAUCCACAGGGACCGGAAUCAUAUUUAUUCAUUUAUUUAUUGCAUUUAUCAUUUCACCGUUUCAGCUCAAAAGUGGCGCAUGUGGUUGUCCCCACCCCCUCGUCAUUUAAUCCCCACAACAACCCUGUGAGGUAGGGGAGGCGGUGAAUGGCCCUCAAGAUCGCACCCAGCGAGUUUCGCCGUGUGAGGAUUUGGACCCUGGUCUCUGCCGGGCACUAGUCCCAACGCUCUAACCACUACACCGCUGCUGUCUCUCAUGAGAUCCAAUGACGAGUCAUGAACAUCUUUAUCCUGCCCUUCCUAGAAUCAUAGAAUCCUAGAGUUGGAAGAGACCACAAGGGCCAUCGAGUCCAACCGCCUGCCAAGCAGGAAACACCAUCAGAGCACUCCUGACAUAUGGUUGUCAAGCCUCUGCUUAAAGACCUCCAAAGAAGGAGACUCCACCACACUCCUUGGCAGCAAAUUCCACUGUCGAACAGCUCUUGCUGUCAGGAAGUUCUUCCUAAUGUUUAGGUGGAAUCUUCUUUCUUGUAGUUUGGAUCCAUUGCUCCGUGUCCGCUUCUCUGGAGCGCAUCCUGCUUGAGGAUGCGCUCGUAGUUCUCUCCAAUCUCCCCCCUUUCCUUGCCACCCAACCUACCUCACAGGGUUGUUAGACGUGCAUGACCUGCCCACCCAGAGAGCAUUAUGGCUGAGAAGGAAUUUGAACCCAGCUCUCUCCGGACCAGUCUUCUGCAGCAGAAGUUGCCGUCCAAAACAAAAGGCCACCUGAGAUGGAGUCUGCUCCUCUUAAUGCAUAAUCUGGGCUCUCAAGGGGCAUAGCUGUCAACGUUUCCCUUUUUUAAAGGGAAAUUCCCUUAUUCUGAAUAGGAUUCCUGACAAGAAAAGGGAAAAGUUGACAGCUAUGUCAAGGUGUGGUGAGCAAUGGGGCAGCGCCCUCUCUAAAGGUCAACAGUUAUUCGAUUCCGGUCUUUCUCCCUCUCUCAGGCUCGAUGGACAGGAACGGCACCAAAAGGUCCCAGCUGGUUACUCCCUCUUAACAAAUCCAGACACAGCAAAGCCCUGCCUAGGUUGUUAUGUAAGAGGAGGUUGUUGGAUCAGGCCAGUGGCCCAUCCAGUUCCAGCAUUGCCUGUGGGAAAACCGCAAGCAGGAUAUGAGCGCAAGAGCAACUCUCCCCUGAGGCUGUAGCCAUGGACGGCUCUUCUCUUCCCUGAAUUUGCACCAUGUUAAAUCAAGCCUGAACUAGACACAGAUCAGGCAUAGGCAAACUCCAGCCUUCCAGACGUUUGUGGGAUAUUGCACGCCAAGAACUAACAGUAGCAGCAGAGAAAACAUGUUCCCCUCUUUAUUUUCAACUUUAUUGGGCACAUGAAACUAACCAUAAUUACCUUGAAUUUCUGCUUAACCCUCAAGAAAGAAGGGCAUUCUCGCUGGCCAGGUUUAAUUCAAAUCCAUCCAACCUCCUUUGGCGAAGGUUCUCAGGCAGGGUGGAAGGAGAAAGAACUUGCCCAUGUGAAGACCACCUGGUGGAAACCCUUAAAGGUAAAGGUAAAGGGACCCCUGACCAUUAAGUCCAGA
Molecule: long non-coding RNA, 32275 nt
Filed under: Podarcis lilfordi (Lilford's wall lizard)
Lineage: Eukaryota; Metazoa; Chordata; Lepidosauria; Squamata; Lacertidae
Source: RNAcentral